RNAcentral lists this transfer RNA (85 nucleotides) under Felis catus (domestic cat). It matches the Rfam family "tRNA". From Rfam's summary of the family: Transfer RNA (tRNA) molecules are approximately 80 nucleotides in length. Their secondary structure includes four short double-helical elements and three loops (D, anti-codon, and T loops). Further hydrogen bonds mediate the characteristic L-shaped molecular structure. tRNAs have two regions of fundamental functional importance: the anti-codon, which is responsible for specific mRNA codon recognition, and the 3' end, to which the tRNAs corresponding amino acid is attached (by aminoacyl-tRNA synthetases). tRNAs cope with the degeneracy of the genetic code in two manners: having more than one tRNA (with a specific anti-codon) for a particular amino acid; and 'wobble' base-pairing, i.e. permitting non-standard base-pairing at the 3rd anti-codon position. The record is from Rfam by way of RNAcentral. Lineage: Eukaryota; Metazoa; Chordata; Mammalia; Carnivora; Felidae.
GCCUGGGUGGCUUAGUCGGUUAAGCAUCUGACUUCGGCUCAGGUCAUGAUCUCGUGGUUUGUGAGUUCGAGCCCCGCGUCGGGCU